This 465-nucleotide ribosomal RNA is filed under the name uncultured bacterium. RNAcentral describes it as "bacterial SSU rRNA". It matches the Rfam family "Bacterial small subunit ribosomal RNA", at positions 338 to 795 of the family's 1533-position model. The record is from RNAcentral.
CCUACGGGCUGCAGCAGUGGGGAAUAUUGCACAAUGGGCGCAAGCCUGAUGCAGCCAUGCCGCGUGUAUGAAGAAGGCCUUCGGGUUGUAAAGUACUUUCAGCGGGAAGGAAGGUGUUGUGGUUAAUAACCACAGCAAUUGUCGUUACCCGCAGAAGAAGCACCGGCUAACUCCGUGCCAGCAGCCGCGGUAAUACGGAGGGUGCAAGCGUUAAUCGGAAUUACUGGGCGUAAAGCGCACGCAGGCGGUCUGUCAAGUCGGAUGUGAAAUCCCCGGGCUCAACCUGGGAACUGCAUUCGAAACUGGCAGGCUAGAGUCUUGUAGAGGGGGGUAGAAUUCCAGGUGUAGCGGUGAAAUGCGUAGAGAUCUGGAGGAAUACCGGUGGCGAAGGCGGCCCCCUGGACAAAGACUGACGCUCAGGCGCGAAAGCGUGGGGAGCAAACAGGAUUAGAUACCCUUGUAGUC